UGCGUAGGCGGAAUAUUAAGUCAGUGGUGAAAUCCUGCGGCUCAACCGUAGAACUGCCAUUGAUACUGAUAUUCUUGAAUGUAGUUGAGGUAGGCGGAAUGUGUAAUGUAGCGGUGAAAUGCUUAGAUAUUACACAGAACACCGAUUGCGAAGGCAGCUUACUAAACUAUAAUUGACGCUGAGGCACGAAAGCGUGGGGAGCGAACAGGAUUAGAUACCCUGGUAGUCC
Molecule: ribosomal RNA, 229 nt
Filed under: uncultured bacterium
Lineage: Bacteria
Description: partial 16S ribosomal RNA
Rfam family: Bacterial small subunit ribosomal RNA
Source: RNAcentral